GCUGAUUUAUCUAUUGACAAGUGUACUGAUUUUCUCUUUUGGCCGAUCAAGCUAGUUUGUGGUUUCCUCUAUGCUUUUUACUUCAGAUACUGUUCCUGUCUUGAUGAUUUUUACCAGCAUCUUAAACUUUGAAAAUAUCAAUCUGCAUACUUAUGGCAUGAAUGGAGGAACGGAAGUCCUUUUUUUAUUCAAGAAAAAUUUGUUUGUUUAAGAUGGUUAUAUUACUAUUUUGUAACAGAUUCACAAUGUUAGAGGAUGUUUGAACUGAAGGCUAUAAGGUCAAUGAAUGGAACAGUCUGAUAAUGCCCUACAAGUCGAUUAUAUUAUUUGUUUAUCAGUAAAUGAGAGCUUUAUUAAAAAUAGGCAUAACCAAGUACACGGGGCAUAUGAUUAUAUUAUUAUUCAAUUAAUGUGUUACUUACCUAUAAUAUAUAUAUGCUACUUGAUGUAUGGUGGUUGAUUGUUGCUAUUGCAAUAUAGAUUUCCAAUAGCUUGCUAUCUGGUUCUGUGGUGGUUGAAAUUCUAGUUGUGUUGGCUAAGUUUUUUGUUUUUACAAUUAUUUGUUAGGGUAUGUUUGGGGUUGCGGCAGAGUCUUAAAAAGUGCUUAAAUAGCCUUAAAAUCUCUUUAAUAGAAAAAUUAGGUUGUUUGGGUUUUACAUAUAUAUAUAUGUAUUUAUAAGUAAUAAGAAAUUUUAUUGAUGUAAAGAUAGGUGUAAGCCAGGUACACUGGAAGUAUACACAAAAAACACUGCUUUAAGAACUAGAAACUGUUACAAGGAAAUCAUGGAAGCUGAGACCAUUAAAAUCUAAAGCAAUGGCCCACAUAAAUAAAUAAAGUCUUCCAUAAAAAACUCCUAAACUCUUCAACAGAACGUUCAUGAUCCUCAAAAUUUCUAUAAUUUCUCUCUCUCCAGAUAUACCAAAAAAUACAAAUGGGAACCAUCUUCCACAAAGCUCUGAUCUGUGCUGUCCUUGAGAUCCCUCUCCAACUUCCAAGUAAUUCAACAACCCUUCCCAACAUUGUCCAUGGCCCCACCCUGCUAAAAAAAUGAUUCCAUGUAUCUCGGGCUAACUCACAAUGUAGGAGUAAAUGGUCCACUGAUUCCCCAUUUUUUUUGCACAUACAACACCAAUCCAUAAUUACAAGACCACAUCUUCUUAAGUUAUCAAUGGUUAGAAUCUUCCCAAAGGCUGUUGUCCAAAUAAAGAACGCAACCUUAGAAUGUGCUUUACUCCUCCAUAUGCUCUUCCAAGGAAAGUUGGGCAAAGGUUGGACUGUAAGCAUCUUAUAGAAAGAACCUACCGAGAGUUUCCCUUUCUUAGAAGGUCUCCAAACCAACUUAUCUUCAUCUGCAACUGCAGGAGGAACAUUAUGGAGCAGAUUAAAAAAUUUCACCAGCGCACUCACCUCCCAGUCAUGUGCCUCCCUAGUGAAAUUGAUGUUCCACUCUUGAAGUGUAGAUCCCCUCAAGUCUGCCACCAUCGCUUCUUUCUCUUGUGCUAUUCUGAAAAUGGUGGGGAAAGUAAUUUUAAGAGCCGUGUCACCCACCCAAACAUCAUGCCAAAAACUUAUCCUCUGGCCAUUCCCCAUACACAACCUGGUAUUGCUAGAAAGAAGCCCCCAUCCAUUCCUAGUAUGCUUCCAUAACCCCACACCAUAUGCCCCUCUCCCCUCAUUAGAGCACCAACCCCCCUUGCACAACCAUACUUCGCGUCGAUCACCCCUUUCCAUAAGGCUUCCUUUUCAAAGUUAUAGCGCCACAACCAUUUCCCUAAUAAGGCCUUAUUAAGAACCCUCACAUUGCAAACCCCCAAGCCACCAUCUCUCAAUGGUGUACACACCUUAUCCCACCCAACUAGAUGAAAUUUAAACUCAUCCCCUAGACCACUCCACAAAAAAUCACGUUGAAGUUUCUCAAUCUUAAAAGCAAUGCUAGCUGGAAGGGGAAAUAGAGACAAUAAAUAUGUGGGAAGGUUAGAUAAAGUACUCUUAAUAAGUGUGAUCCGUCCCCCUUGGAUAAAUACAACUUUUUCCACCCAGCUAGCCUACGUUCUAAUUUUUCCACCACCUCCGUCCAAAUUGUCUUAGCUUUAAUAGCGUUUUCUCUUGUGUAUCGAGUCUAGCUUUUUCUCUCCGUACACUUUGCGAAAACUCCUCAAUUCUGCUAAUUUGAUGGUGCAGUAGUCUUGCGUUGAGUCUAAUGGGCUUCACAAGAGAGUUUGUGAUAGAUUCAAAAUUAUUCAUACUUGUGAAGGAAGGAGGUCUGCUAUGUAUUAUAGAGAGAGGGUGAAAGAAAGAGCAUGAGCUACUGGUGGAAUCAAGCACAAUGUUGUGGCUUGGGAAAGCGCUGGAGGAAUGCUUGAGAGGGGAGAAGAGGGAGUUUAAUAGCACCACCAGAGAAGGCUAUUGUAGCUUUAUAGCAUAGAGGUGCUCGAAUAGCCAUGGCAUUACAUGGUAGUUGCAGAAUAUUGUGAGGGGGGAAGAAUAAGCUUUAUUUUCUUACUUGAAGGGGAGGGGGGGAGGGGAUGGAGUAGGCUGAGGGAGGCUUUGUGGGAGUGGAUGCAGGUAGGGAGAAACAGGGGAGGCUCUCUUGGAGGAGCCCAGCUGAGGCCGCAGAAGGAGGUGGAAAGGCCGUAUGUGCGGUCCUAUCAUGCCGGCGAUGGACCACCAUGAUUAGAGUGGGGGUGACGGUGGUGGUUGGUUCACUGACAGAAACAUGCGUUGAGCCCCUCUUGGUGUACGAAAUGUGGGCUCUGGCAAGGAGGCUAUCAGGUAGGCAGAGUGGGACGUGUGCAGGGUGUUGAUGGAGAUGCAGGGCCAAUUACGGAAAUUGCAGUUGGAGGUGGCAGAAAUCCUCUGCUAUGUUGGGUGUAAAAAGGAAGAAUACAGGGUUAAGGAGUUUAAAGGAAAGAGGCCGGGCUUAGAGCAGAGGCCCAUUAAGGCCCUUCCUGUGCAUUAUCGUAAGUCUAGGGGUGAGGGAUCAAAGGGUGGGCUUAGCAAAGGGAAUGGGCUUCAAGGAAGGUAAAAGGAAUGAAGGCAGAUCGCUUGGGCCGUGGUUGGGCCUCAGCCCACGGGUGAAAUGGGAAGGAAUGUUGGCAAGCAACCCAAGGAUGAUGGGCUUCAGCCCAGGGCCCAACAAAAGUGGAAAGAAUGCCCUUGGGCUUCUUCUAGCGGCGGCUCUAAUGCACAUCCACCAAAGACCACUCCGCGACGCUCGCGGACGGAGGUGGAACUGCCGGUGAGCACACAGAAAACGUCGACGACGACGGUGGAGCACUCCGAUGAUGGCCCGCACGUGGUGGGUGCACGUAAAUCGAUAGUAGAACACGUGACAGGCUCUUCGACACCUCUAGAUGGGGUUUCUCUAUCAUAUGGUGGCCAGACAGUGUCGAUGAGGUGCAAGGGUGCAAGUGUGACUCCGACGAACCUUCCAGUUCAGUUCCUUGAGGACUCUAAGCCGGGUGUGAAGGAUGGGGUGAGUUCAGAGGAUCUUUCACACUCUGAUAGUGAGGAACUGUUGACCCUUGAUGAAGACAAAUCCAAUCAAGCUCUUAUGGGUAAAUGGUUGUGGAGAUACCAACUUGAAAGGGAGGUCCUAUGGAAGUUGGUCAUAGACUCUAAAUUUGGAGAGGCUUGGGAGGUUGGUGCUCGAAUGAGGUAUGAGGCACACACAGAGUGGGGUUAUGGAAAUUUAUAAGGGGACAUUGGGAGACCUUUCAAGGACAUGAACAUAUUGUGGUGAGUGAUGGUUCUUGCGUCAGAUUUUGGUAUGAUAAAUCGUGUGGUGACCAUAGCUUUAAAGAUGCCUUUCCUGUUAUUUUCGAGCUUGCAAGGGAAAAUGAUGCAGUGAUUGCCAAUCUUUUGGUCCUUUCCAAUGGCCAACCUCAAUGGAAUAUUGACCUCAUUUGGGCAGCCCAAGAUUGGGAGGUGGAGAUUAUUUGAGUUUUUUGCGACAUUGUAUUCAGUAAAUAUGCUAGGGGAUAAGAUGCACUGGAGUCAUUCUAAGAAAGACAACUUCACUGUUAGAUCUAUUUACCAAGCUUUAACAAGUCUUGAACUGACCAAGUUCCUGUGGAAGAGUAUAUGGCAGACGAAAGCUCAUUCAGAAGCAGCUUUUUUUGUUUGGACAACAUCAUUGGACAAGAUUCUGACUACAGAUAAUUUGAGGAAGAACUGGGUAAUUGUGCUGGAUUGGUGUUGUAUGUGUAAGAAACAUGGAGAAUCAGUAGAUCAUUUGUUUCUACAUUGUGAGGUGGCCAGGGGCAUGUGGGAUGAUUUUUUUACGAGGGUCGGUUUGUCAUGGGUCAUGCCUCUUAGUUUGGUGGACAUCCUUGCAAGUUGGCGAGGCAUUCAAGGUAACUAACAAGUGGCGGCCAUUUGGCGUAUGAUUCCUAUUUGUAUGUGUUGGUGUAUCUGAAGGGAAAGAAAUGCAAGAAGCUUUGAAGAUUGUGAGAGAACAACAGGGGAACUAAAACUCUUCUUCUUUAAGUUAUUGCUUUUAUGGGCGGUAACAAUUGUUUGUAACGGUCUAAAUGAAGUUCUCCUAUUGAUUGUAAUUGUAAACCUUAGUUAUGUGUUUCUCUUGUAUACUACCUGUGUACUUGGGCUUUGCCUUUUUCUAUUUAUAAAAUUCUUAUGAUCACAUAUAAAAAAAAGGAAAUGCAAAAAUGUGUGGGGUUGGAGUGUGAAGGCUUCGAGGAACAGUUUAUGGCUUUGCUUACAACCAUUGAAGUGGGGCACCAACAACAAAGAGAAGCUGGAUAAAAAAACAGCGUGAGCUUAAAAGGUUGACGUGGUCGAUGAAUUCUGAGGGUAGUUCCAGCAGGUUCAGGUCAAAAGGGAAGGGGCUGGCCAUCUCCCAAUGAAACCCAAAAUAGUGUCGUGGAAUGUUCGUGGGCUCAACGAAACCAAUAAAUGUCUACAGAUAAGAAAUUUGCUUCGUGAGUGGAAGGCGGACAUUGUUUGUUUAUAGGAGAUUAAGAUGAAAUUGAUUAAUAGGAGAAUUGUGCGAAGUGUAUGGAGUUGUGUACAUGUGGAUUGGGUGUAUAUGGCUUCUAAUGGGGCGUCAGGAGGGGUAGUGGUGAUGUGGGAUAUACAGGUGGUGGAGAAAAUGGAGGAAUUCAUUGGGAUGUACUCGGUUGCAUGCUCUUUCAAGAGUGUGUACGAUAACUUUUUGUGGGCUUUUGCAGGUGUUGAUGUCCCAAACUUAGACAACAACAGAAUAUUAUUGUGGGAAGAAUUAGCGGGGGUUCAUAGCUGGUGGGACCUCUCUUGGUGUAUUGGGGGAGACUUUAAUGUCACAAGAUUUCCAAGCAAGUCUUCCAAAAAUAGAAGAGUGCGGCCAUCAAUGGUAGAGUUCUUGGAAUGUAUCUUUGAUUUGAACUUGGUGGAUUUGCCACUAGCUGGGGGUUUUGCCACGUGGUCUAACAAUCAGACAUGGUCUCGGUUGGACCGAUUCUUAAUAUCUCUAGAAUGGGAAAGUCACUUUUUGGAUGUUUGGCAAAAACGAAUGCCUUGUCUUUGUUAGGACCAUUGGCCUAUCAUGCUGGAUUGUGGUGAUCUCCGAAGAGGUCGAUGGUAUUUCAAAUUUGAAAACAUAUGGCUGAAAUCUGAAUGUUUUGUGGAGAGGGUUAGAUAGUGGGGGUCCUCAUAUAAGAUAUUGGGUACCCCUAGCUUCAUCUUUGCAGGUAAAUUGAAAGCUCUAAAAAACGAUUUGAAGCUUUGGAAUAUGCAAUCUUUCGGAGAUAUAGGGGAGAACAAGAAAAGCAAGAUGAGGGAGAUCCAGGAGUUAGAGAGGCUCCAAGAGGUUCUGUCUCUUACUCAGGAAGAACUAGCGCAGAAGACAAUGUUGGGUGCGAUCUUGAGAGGAUUAUCUUAUUAGAAGAGAUGUCUUGACGGCAAAAAUCAAGAGUUUUGUGGUUAAGGGAAGGAGAUUGAAGCACAAAGUUCUUUCAUAGAAUUGCAAACUCCCAUAGGAGAAACAACAACAUAGAGAUGCUGAAAAUUGACAGUGUCGAAUGUAGGGAAGAACAGGUAAUUCACGACCAUGUAGUUGGUUUCUAUGAGCAGCUACUAACUGAGCCGAGCCGAUGGGGCGGCGGCCUUCCCUUAAUGGUCUUGUGCUUGAUUCCAUUGGGCCGAGUAAUGUGUCUCGGAUGGAGAGGGCCUUUAAGGAGGUAGAGGUUUUUGAAGUAGUGAGGAAAAUGGUCAAGGACAAGACAUUGGGGCUUGAUUGUUUCUCUAUGAGCUUCUUUCAAGAAUGCUAGGAUGUCUUAAAGGAAGAUCUUAUGCAGGUGUUUUAGGAGCUUUUCUUGGCUGGAAAAUUUGAGAAAAGCUUUAACACCACUUUUCUUACAUUGAUAUACCAAAGAAGGUGGGGGCUAUGGAGGUUAAGGAGUUUCGGCCCAUUAGCUUAGUGAAUGAUGUAUACAAGAUAAUAUCCAAAGUGCUUGCGAACCGUUUAAGUGAGGUAGUGGGGAAAAUCAUUACAAAAUCCCAAAAUGCUUUUGUAAAAGGUAGGCAAAUUCUUGAUGCGGUUCUUAUUACUAAUAAAUAUCUUGACAGUAGAUUGAAGGCUGGCACAUCAGGGAUCAUUUGCAAGCUAGACAUGGAGAAGUUGUACGAUCAUGUUAACUGGGACUUCCUUUUCUACCUUCUUAGGAGGUGCGGUUUUGGAGAGAGGUGGCGGUCAUGGAUCUGUUGGUGCAUAUCAAUAGUGAAAUUCUCCGUGUUGAUAAAUGGUAGUGCAGCUGAUUUCUUCUAUAGCUCACGAGGCCUAAGAUAAGGAAAUCCAUUGUCGCCAUUGCUGUUUGUUAUUAUUAUGGAGGCGAUAAGCAGGAUGAUCUCGGUCUUGGUUAUUAAUGGCUUCGUGGAUGGAUUUUCAAUUGGAACCCGGAUGGAGAAUUAUUAAUAUUUCUCAUUUGUUGUUUGCAGAUGACAAUUAUUUUUUGUGAGUCUGAUCAAAAUCAGAUUCGAGCACUGAAGGCUCUGCUUCUUUGUUUUGAAGUUGCAUCCGGGUUAAAAGUGAACUUCGACAAAUCAGAGAUGGUACUAGUUGGAGAUGUUCCUUAUAUACAACAACUGGCUAGCACGUUGAGGGUGCAAGAUAGCCUUCCUUCCUUUGACUUACCUGGGACUUCCGUUGGGGGUAGCCGCGAAGGUGUUCUCUUUAUGGGAUACAGUGAUUGGGAAAGUAGAGCGGAGACCGGCGGGAUGGAAGAGAAUGUACUUGUCGAAAGGUGGUAGGAUUACCUUGAUCAAGAGUACAUUAUCUAACUUACCAACAUAUUUUUUAUCCCUCUUCCCUAUACCUGCAAGUGUGACAUUUCGAAUUGAGAAACUCCAACAUGACUUCUUGUGGGGCAAAGGGGGGAGGAGUUCAAAUUCCAUCUAGUUAAGUGGGAGAUGGUAUGUCGUCCUAUCUCUAACGGUGGUUUGAGUAUUAGAAAUAUGAGGACUUUUAAUCUGGCGUUACUUAGAAAAUGGUUGUUGAGAUACAAAAAGGAACCAGGAGCCUUAUGGAAGUUGGUGAUUGAGUGCAAAUAUGGAGGCUUAUGGGGGGAUGGUGUUCUAAAGAAGUUGGAAGAGCCUAUGGAUUGGGGUUGUGGAAACACAUAAGAAAAGGAUAGGGGGUCUUUACUCGAUAUACUCGACUUCUUUUGGGUGAGGGUUCCAGGAUUAAAUUCUUGAAAGAGAUUUGGUGUGGUGACAAUACUCUAAAGAUUUGUUUCCUUCACUAUUCCAAAUUGCAAGUGCCAAAGAUGUUUCAGUGGCAGAAGUCAUGGCGAUUUCGGGUGGGCAAAUCCAUUGGAUUAUCAAUUUUAGUCGGGCGGCACGAGAUUGGGAAAUGAGCAGCUUUGCUAUUUUUAUAGCCUUUUGUACUCCAUAAAACCAAGCAAUCAACAAGAAGAUGGGUUGUGGUGGAUACCCGCAGGGAAAGGUAGCCCAAUAGUCAGUUUCCUUGGAGAAAGCUUUGGAGACAUAAGGUGCCCCCCAAAGCUGCAUUUUUCGUGUGGACAACAUCGUUGGGUAAGAUCCUCACAACCGACAACUUGAGGAAACAGAGGGUAAUCAUAGUAGAUUGGUGUUGCAUGUGUAGAGGAGGGGACGAGUCGGUGGACCAUCUCCUACUACAUUGCGAGGCAACAAGGGUAUUAUGGAAUGAGGUGUUUAGUAGAUUAGAGAUGGAUUGGGUUAUGCCGGAGAUAGUGGUGGCAGCGCUGGCCAGCUAGACAAAUAUAAGAGGCAUGCAACAGAUUAAAGCGGUUUGGAAGAUGAUCUCUAUAUGUAUCAUGUGGUGUUUGUGGCAAGAGUGCAAUGAGCAGACGUUUGAAGACAAGGAAAGAUCUUUGGAGGAGCUUAAAGCUUUAUUUUACAGAAAUCUAUGUACUUGGGCCAUUGUUGUUGACUUCAAUGGCAUGGACCUACAUGAUUUUCUUGUCUCUAUUGCGCCUUCUUAGUUAGGGCAUCCAGUUGUUUUCUUCUUGUGUAUUGUGCUGGGCUAUGCCCAUUCAUUGAUCAAUAAAAUUUGUUUACUUAUAAAA
Juglans microcarpa x Juglans regia is the source of this 8544-nucleotide long non-coding RNA. RefSeq lists it as uncharacterized. NCBI's taxonomy places the organism in Eukaryota, Viridiplantae, Streptophyta, Magnoliopsida, Fagales, Juglandaceae. The transcript has 2 exons. The record is from RefSeq and is a predicted model, not a curated record.